Molecule: ribosomal RNA, 504 nt
Filed under: uncultured bacterium
Lineage: Bacteria
Description: partial 16S ribosomal RNA
Rfam family: Bacterial small subunit ribosomal RNA
Source: RNAcentral
AUUGAACGCUGGCGGCAGGCCUAACACAUGCAAGUCGAACGGUAGCACAGAGAGCUUGCUCUCGGGUGACGAGUGGCGGACGGGUGAGUAACGUCUGGGAAACUGCCCGAUGGAGGGGGAUAACUACUGGAAACGGUAGCUAAUACCGCAUAACGUAGCAAGACCAAAGUGGGGGACCUUCGGGCCUCACACCAUCGGAUGUGCCCAGAUGGGAUUAGCUAGUAGGUGGGGUAAUGGCUCACCUAGGCGACGAUCCCUAGCUGGUCUGAGAGGAUGACCAGCCACACUGGAACUGAGACACGGUCCAGACUCCUACGGGAGGCAGCAGUGGGGAAUAUUGCACAAUGGGCGCAAGCCUGAUGCAGCCAUGCCGCGUGUAUGAAGAGGGCCUUCGGGUUGUAAAGUACUUUCAGCGGGGAGGAAGGCGGUGGAGUUAAUAACUUCACCGAUUGACGUUACCCGCAGAAGAAGCACCGGCUAACUCCGUGCCAGCAGCCGCGGUAA